GGAUGUGAGGAUCAUCUAGCUACAACAUCUAUCACCCCACUAUGGCCAAGGCUGAUUCAGAUGAUCUGCCUCACUGAAGUGUCCCCUUCCUCCCUCACCACUCCUAAAGAAGUGCAAGAGGACAACCUUCCCCAAAUGGAGACCAGUCGAGGGUAUGUGAGUAGCUGCGCUCCCUUGCUAGAAACUCCAAACAAGUUCACAAGGUUCAUUUAAAGAAGUAAUAAGUAGGACCUGGGCAGUGGUGCACCUGACUGAGAACUCUCAUUACAAUGUGAGAGGACU
This 282-nucleotide small nuclear RNA is filed under the name Erinaceus europaeus (western European hedgehog). RNAcentral describes it as "7SK RNA". The stretch from base 1 to 240 matches the Rfam family "7SK RNA". From Rfam's summary of the family: 7SK was discovered as an abundant small nuclear RNA in the mid-70s but a possible function has only recently been suggested. Two independent studies have found that 7SK RNA binds the CDK9/cyclin T complex (known as elongation factor P-TEFb). P-TEFb activates transcription by phosphorylating the C-terminal domain of RNA polymerase II. Lineage: Eukaryota; Metazoa; Chordata; Mammalia; Eulipotyphla; Erinaceidae. The record is from Rfam by way of RNAcentral.